This 388-nucleotide ribosomal RNA is filed under the name uncultured Streptococcus sp. RNAcentral describes it as "bacterial SSU rRNA". It matches the Rfam family "Bacterial small subunit ribosomal RNA", at positions 991 to 1382 of the family's 1533-position model. Lineage: Bacteria; Bacillati; Bacillota; Bacilli; Lactobacillales; Streptococcaceae. The record is from RNAcentral.
GAUGCUAUUUCUAGAGAUAGAAGUUACUUCGGUACAUCGGUGACAGGUGGUGCAUGGUUGUCGUCAGCUCGUGUCGUGAGAUGUUGGGUUAAGUCCCGCAACGAGCGCAACCCCUAUUGUUAGUUGCCAUCAUUCAGUUGGGCACUCUAGCGAGACUGCCGGUAAUAAACCGGAGGAAGGUGGGAUGACGUCAAAUCAUCAUGCCCCUUAUGACCUGGGCUACACACGUGCUACAAUGGUUGGUACAACGAGUUGCGAGUCGGUGACGGCGAGCUAAUCUCUUAAAGCCAAUCUCAGUUCGGAUUGUAGGCUGCAACUCGCCUACAUGAAGUCGGAAUCGCUAGUAAUCGCGGAUCAGCACGCCGCGGUGAAUACGUUCCCGGGCCUU